Molecule: ribosomal RNA, 496 nt
Filed under: uncultured bacterium
Lineage: Bacteria
Description: partial 16S ribosomal RNA
Rfam family: Bacterial small subunit ribosomal RNA
Source: RNAcentral
GAUGAACGCUGGCGGCGUGCCUAAUACAUGCAAGUCGAGCGAACGGACGAGAAGCUUGCUUCUCUGAUGUUAGCGGCGGACGGGUGAGUAACACGUGGAUAACCUACCUAUAAGACUGGGAUAACUUCGGGAAACCGGAGCUAAUACCGGAUAAUAUUUUGAACCGCAUGGUUCAAAAGUGAAAGACGGUCUUGCUGUCACUUAUAGAUGGAUCCGCGCUGCAUUAGCUAGUUGGUAAGGUAACGGCUUACCAAGGCAACGAUGCAUAGCCGACCUGAGAGGGUGAUCGGCCACACUGGAACUGAGACACGGUCCAGACUCCUACGGGGGGCAGCAGUAGGGAAUCUUCGCAAUGGGCGAAAGCCUGACGGAGCAACGCCGCGUGAGUGAUGAAGGUCUUCGGAUCGUAAAACUCUGUUAUUAGGGAAGAACAUAUGUGUAAGUAACUGUGCACAUCUUGACGGUACCUAAUCAGAAAGCCACGGCUAACUACGUG